RNAcentral lists this long non-coding RNA (299 nucleotides) under Mytilus galloprovincialis (Mediterranean mussel). The record is from RNAcentral. Lineage: Eukaryota; Metazoa; Mollusca; Bivalvia; Mytilida; Mytilidae.
UGUGGUUCUUACGAUCUAAACACCAUGAUAUGGAGAACGCUCUGAUUGGCUUAUUUAUUUUUCAUUUUUGUUAUCUAUCAUACGAUUGGUUGUAUUUGUGCAUUUUUAAAACCGGAAGUCUUAUCUAUGACUAAAAGUCAGUCCGAUGACGGAAUCAUAUCCGGACUCCUGUUUUGUCGUUUUUCUCCCAAAAUAACUCAAUCUGAUUAAUCAUAAGAAUGGAUGACAAAUGCGACUAUGCAUGUUACCUAUAGGACACAGAGGCAUGAUGAUUGAUUUAUUGUGGAAGGAAGAGAAGC